GCACUGCUGAAGAGUCCCAUACUAAGACGAAACGGCCGUCCAGUGC
This is a non-coding RNA of Schistosoma curassoni, 46 nucleotides long. The record is from Rfam. NCBI's taxonomy places the organism in Eukaryota, Metazoa, Platyhelminthes, Trematoda, Strigeidida, Schistosomatidae.